RNAcentral lists this small nuclear RNA (24 nucleotides) under Arabidopsis thaliana (thale cress). RNAcentral describes it as "snRNA_14980". Lineage: Eukaryota; Viridiplantae; Streptophyta; Magnoliopsida; Brassicales; Brassicaceae. The record is from RNAcentral.
GCACGAACUUUCUUAUUCUGUUUU